GAAUUUUGGGCAAUGGGCGAAAGCCUGACCCAGCAACGCCGCGUGAAGGAUGAAAUCCCUCGGGAUGUAAACUUCGCAAGAACAGGAAGAAUAAGUAAGGGUUAAUAUCUCUUAUGAUGACGGUACUGUUUGUAAGCUCCGGCUAACUCCGUGCCAGCAGCCGCGGUAAUACGGAGGGGGCUAGCGUUGUUCGGAAUUACUGGGCGUAAAGGGCGCGCAGGCGGCUGCUCAAGGCAGGCGUGAAAGGCCUGGGCUCAACCCGGGAACUGCGCUUGAGACUGGGCUGGCUUGAGUGCGGGAGAGGAUGGUGGAAUUCCCAGUGUAGAGGUGAAAUUCGUAGAUAUUGGGAAGAACACCGGUGGCGAAGGCGGCCAUCUGGACCGCAACUGACGCUGAGGCGCGAAAGCGUGGGGAGCAAACAGG
Molecule: ribosomal RNA, 423 nt
Filed under: uncultured bacterium
Lineage: Bacteria
Description: bacterial SSU rRNA
Rfam family: Bacterial small subunit ribosomal RNA
Source: RNAcentral